GACGAACGCUGGCGGCGUGCCUAAUACAUGCAAGUCGAGCGGACCAAAGGGAGCUUGCUCCUGGAGGUUAGCGGCGAACGGGUGAGUAACACGUGGGCAACCUGCCUGUAAGACUGGGAUAACAUCGAGAAAUCGGUGCUAAUACCGGAUAAUAAAAAGAACUGCAUGGUUCUUUUUUGAAAGAUGGUUUCGGCUAUCACUUACAGAUGGGCCCGCGGCGCAUUAGCUAGUUGGUGAGGUAACGGCUCACCAAGGCAACGAUGCGUAGCCGACCUGAGAGGGUGAUCGGCCACACUGGGACUGAGACACGGCCCAGACUCCUACGGGAGGCAGCAGUAGGGAAUCUUCCGCAAUGGACGAAAGUCUGACGGAGCAACGCCGCGUGAGUGAUGAAGGUUUUCGGAUCGUAAAACUCUGUUGUUAGGGUAAGAACAAGUGCCGUUCGAAAGGGCGGCACCUUGACGGUACCUAACGAGAAAGCCACGGCUAACUACGUGCCAGCAGCCGACGG
This 511-nucleotide ribosomal RNA is filed under the name uncultured bacterium. RNAcentral's name for it is "bacterial SSU rRNA". It matches the Rfam family "Bacterial small subunit ribosomal RNA", at positions 28 to 520 of the family's 1533-position model. The record is from RNAcentral.